RNAcentral lists this transfer RNA (64 nucleotides) under Echinostoma miyagawai. RNAcentral's name for it is "tRNA-Val". Lineage: Eukaryota; Metazoa; Platyhelminthes; Trematoda; Plagiorchiida; Echinostomatidae. The record is from RNAcentral.
GAUAACAUAGUUUAGUAUAAAAUUCCUAUUUUACACGUAGGGGAUGGAAGAUUUCCUGUUAUUA